CAGAGUUCAUGCCCUUCGGGGUAGACCUCCCACCCAGUGUAUUUAUACCUUUGUUGCUUUGGCAGGCCGCUAGGCUUUCGGCCCGGCUCCUGGCUCCGGCUAGGGAGUGCCUGCCAGAGGACCCCAAAACCUGAAUGUUAGUGUCGUCUGAGUACUAUACAAUAGUUA
Molecule: unclassified non-coding RNA, 168 nt
Filed under: uncultured Dermateaceae
Lineage: Eukaryota; Fungi; Ascomycota; Leotiomycetes; Helotiales; Dermateaceae
Description: sequence contains ITS1
Source: RNAcentral